RNAcentral lists this long non-coding RNA (413 nucleotides) under Coffea arabica (coffee). Its description in RNAcentral is "long non-coding RNA (CARA_LNC006747)". Lineage: Eukaryota; Viridiplantae; Streptophyta; Magnoliopsida; Gentianales; Rubiaceae. The record is from RNAcentral.
UUGUUUUUGGCCCACAGGAUUGGGCUUGCUUGGCCUGCAACUCCAUUUCUUGUGCUAGAUUUCUUUAUUAGGUGGUGGCGGUGGUUGUGAUGAUGGUGGCUGUGCGGGUGGUGGUGCUGGUGCUGGUUGUGCUGGCGUUUGCUUGGUUCUGAAGGCCUAGCUGGACUACAAAUUGGCUUUGGCAUUAGUGUCAGAUGGGCUCUGGAUGGGAAACAUACUAAUAGAUCUGUGGAGGGAGGCCCUUUGCCUUCUCUGCUUUUCAUUUUGUUUUCUUCUUCCUCUUGCUCCUCUAUUUGCUCUUCUUAUUGCUAGUUACUAUGCUUUAGAUCUUGUGGUUGAUGAACUGUAUAUGCGAAAUUUGAUGCUUGGGGCUUUGAGUAGUGCUUUGGUUUGAUGAGAUUUAAAAUAAAUGU